Molecule: non-coding RNA, 90 nt
Organism: Camponotus floridanus (Florida carpenter ant)
Lineage: Eukaryota; Metazoa; Arthropoda; Insecta; Hymenoptera; Formicidae
Source: Rfam
UCCUGUUCCUAAGUACUAGUGCCGCAGGAGUGAUUAGACGUGGGCAAGACAUUACCAUAUCUCCUGCUGCUCAAGUGCUUAUCAACAGGU